AACGAACGCUGGCGGCAUGCCUAACACAUGCAAGUCGAACGAGACCUUCGGAUCUGGUGGCGCUCGGGUGCGUAACGCGUGGGAACCUGCCCGUAGGUUCGGAAUAACUCCUCGACAGGGGUGCUAAUACCGGAUAAUGUCUUCGGACCAAAGAUUUAUCGCCUUUGUAUGGGCCCGCGUUGUAUUAGCUAGUUGGUAUGGUAAAAGCCUACCAAGGCUACGAUCCAUAGCUGGUCUGAGAGGAUGAUCAGCCACACUGGGACUGAGACACGGCCCAGACUCCUGCGGGAUGCAGCAGUGGGGAAUAUUGGACAAUGGGCGAAAGCCUGAUCCAGCAAUGCCGCGUGAGUGAUGAAGGCCUUAGGGUUGUAAAGCUCUUUUACCCGCGAUGAUAAUGACGGUACCGGGAGAAUAAGCACCGGCUAACUCCGUG
RNAcentral lists this ribosomal RNA (433 nucleotides) under uncultured bacterium. Its description in RNAcentral is "partial 16S ribosomal RNA". It matches the Rfam family "Bacterial small subunit ribosomal RNA", at positions 29 to 507 of the family's 1533-position model. The record is from RNAcentral.